RNAcentral lists this long non-coding RNA (460 nucleotides) under Gossypium barbadense (sea-island cotton). RNAcentral's name for it is "long non-coding RNA (GBAR_LNC004260)". Lineage: Eukaryota; Viridiplantae; Streptophyta; Magnoliopsida; Malvales; Malvaceae. The record is from RNAcentral.
GCUAAUGGGCUUGCUGGGUCGGGUUGGUUUGCCGGAUCGGGUCGGGUUAUACCCGGUUCGGGUCGGUUUGACCCGACUGUUAAAAUUUUUUUUCUUUUUUUUUCUUCUUUCUUCUUCUCUCUUUCUUUCUUCUUCUUCUUCUUCCUUCUUCUUCUUCUUCAAAACCGAGCCCCCCACACCGUCGCUUCUUUCACGCCGCCGUUCGAGCUGCCACCGUCGACUCCACCGGACCUUUCUCUUUCCUUUCUUUUCUCUCCCCUUUUUUCUUAUUUUUGAAGCUUUUUUUCUCUUUGAAACUUUUUUUUGGAGAUUCAUGGGGUUCUUGAUUUUUGGAGUUUAAACUCCUUUUUAUAGUUGGUUUUGCUUCUUUUUUGCAGGUAGCAAGUGGGGAAGGAGCAGCCACCCAUGUUUGUGGCCUGAAAAUCUGGGAAGUGGGUGCCCCAAAUCACGUAACCUGUCU